Molecule: long non-coding RNA, 629 nt
Organism: Ctenopharyngodon idella (grass carp)
Lineage: Eukaryota; Metazoa; Chordata; Actinopteri; Cypriniformes; Xenocyprididae
Exons: 3
Source: RefSeq, a predicted model, not a curated record
UAACUAUAAUGAUCCACACCAACGGACAAUAAAGUUCUGUUUAUUAUUAUACAUGCUGUGGUUAUGUUGUCUGCCAUUUUAAGUGCUCAAGCUCUUUAAAGUCGGGUAGAUUCUGAUUGGCUGUCAAUGUUUUUAGUGGUCAUCAUAUGAUUUAAUAAAAUUCUCUUCCCUGUCUUGCAGGAUUUCUCACAGAUUGCUUAGUCAUUCUCCAUCAGCUCCCUACAAUAUUAGACCCAAUGGAUCUUUUAAAAAAAAGCUUCCAAAAGCUUCUACAUCUCUCUCUCUCUCUCUCUCUCUCUCUCUCGUGUGGCACAUCUGCUCUCAGCCCUUCUACACUCUUACUAACAAUUUCUGCUCUUAGCAUGUCUACUUAUUUCUCCUCUACAGUGAACACAUCUCUACUGUGAGCAGUCCUAUCACUACCACCAUCCCUCCCACUGUAUUCUACAUGCCAACACCGGGGAAGACGGUAAAUAAUUAAAAUGGGAAGAAAAGAAUAUCUGCCCGAUGGGAGCCUUGCAACUCCUGUGGCACAGACUGGAGAAGUACCUGGCUGACAGACGCUGUGGUUCUGGGCACUUAUGUUUGUCUUUAAACAGUUUGACAUAUCAAUAAAACUGUGAAAUUAC